CCCUCGUCUCCUCUCCGUUCCCGCUCUCUUCGCCUUGCGCCCACACCCCAGUGCUCCUUCCCCCACCUCUCCUUCCCCUCGCCCUCCUCGUCUCCUCAAAGCCCACAGCUCCCCGCAUCCUCCGUUUGUCCCAGGACCGGCCUCUCUUUCCCCUCCUGCCUUCUCUCUGACUUGUGGGUUUGGUUUGCACCGACGUCCGCAGGCUGUCCUGAGGCCAGCAGAAAACACAGGCAAAGUCCAGUUUGUCUUUUGACUCCUGGUCCUUUGAUGUUGGGUACCACACUCACUCAUCCCAGGUGACUGGGGAAUGGGGGUUUCCUCUGCUGAAUGGUUUCAAGCCAUCUCAUUCUUCAUCUCAACUUCAAUGUCAUCACCAAAAGGCCUUCUCUGACAACCACCGAAUCUGACUUGGCAUUGCGUACUACAAAAAUAGAGAUAAUGUGCCUGUGGAAUCGCUGGUGCCCCAAAGAGGACACAUGACAGGUCCAGUGAAACCAUGUUUUAUGUGCUAUACAAAUAUUUGAGUGCUUCCUAUGUGCCAGUUACUUUUUUAGUCACUGGGAUGCAACGAUAGCCAAGGUAAACAAAAUCUUUGCUCUCGUGGAGCUUAUUCAAGUGUGUGUGUGUGUGUGUGUGUGUGCAUUUCUGUGCAAGACAUAAUAUGCAGAUAAAUGAAUAAAAUAGAUAUUAUUUGAAUUGCUGGUAAGCACUAUGAAGAAAAAUAGAUCAGGAAUGGGUAUCAGGAAUGUGAGGGGUUGGGGAGAGGCAGGGAAAAAUGCCAUUUUCAUCAGGGUCAUUUGAGAAAGCCUUCAAGAAGGUGACAUUUGAACAAAGAGCUGAAGGAAGUGAGGGGGCGAGCCACACGUGUCUGAGGAAACGUCUACUGAACCUCUUUAUGAUGAUUUAGAAGGCACAUCUGAAUCUUCCCUGCAGGCUACCAGAGUUAUAAUAAUGAACAUUAAUCAAUGCUAUUUGGUAUAAUGGAGGAAAAGACAGUAUUUUAAUUGCUUGGAUUCCAGAUGAUCAGAAGUUAUGUCAAUGGUCAUGCCGGCUCAAUGUUAUUAAAAAUACUAAUUUGGGGCUUCCCUGGUGGCACAGCGGUUAGGAAUCUGCCUGCCAAGGCAGAGGACACGGGUUCGAGCCCUGGUCCGGGAAGAUUCCAUGUGUCGCGGAGCAACUAGGCCCGUGGGCCACAACUACUAAGCCUGUGCUCUACAGCCUGCAAGCCACAGCUACUGAGCCCGUGUGCCACGAUUACUGAGGCCCGCGUGCCUGGAGCCGGUGCUCCACAGCAAGGGAGGCCACUGCAGUGAGAAGCCCACGCACCGCAGCGAAGAGUGGCUCCCACUCGCUGCAGCUAGAGAAAGCCCACGUGCAGCAAAGACCCAA
Globicephala melas (long-finned pilot whale) is the source of this 1389-nucleotide non-coding RNA. The record is from RefSeq and is a predicted model, not a curated record. Lineage: Eukaryota; Metazoa; Chordata; Mammalia; Artiodactyla; Delphinidae.